RNAcentral lists this ribosomal RNA (482 nucleotides) under uncultured bacterium. RNAcentral describes it as "partial 16S ribosomal RNA". It matches the Rfam family "Bacterial small subunit ribosomal RNA", at positions 30 to 507 of the family's 1533-position model. The record is from RNAcentral.
AUUGAACGCUGGCGGCAUGCCUUACACAUGCAAGUCGAACGGUAACGGGCCUUCGGGUGCCGACGAGUGGCGCACGGGGGAGUAAUACAUCGGAACGUGCCCGAUCGUGGGGGAUAACGAGGCGAAAGCUUUGCUAAUACCGCAUACGAUCUACGGAUGAAAGCAGGGGACCGCAAGGCCUUGCGCGGACGGAGCGGCCGAUGGCAGAUUAGGUAGUUGGUGGGAUAAAAGCUUACCAAGCCGACGAUCUGUAGCUGGUCUGAGAGGAUGAUCAGCCACACUGGGACUGAGACACGGCCCAGACUCCUACGGGAGGCAGCAGUGGGGAAUUUUGGACAAUGGGCGCAAGCCUGAUCCAGCCAUGCCGCGUGCAGGAUGAAGGCCUUCGGGUUGUAAACUGCUUUUGUACGGAACGAAAAGCCUUCUUUUAAUACAGGAGGGUCAUGACGGUACCGUAAGAAUAAGCACCGGCUAACUACGUG